Molecule: long non-coding RNA, 354 nt
Organism: Choloepus didactylus (southern two-toed sloth)
Lineage: Eukaryota; Metazoa; Chordata; Mammalia; Pilosa; Megalonychidae
Exons: 2
Source: RefSeq, a predicted model, not a curated record
CACUGGAGAAGAAGCCAGAAGAAAAAAAACAAAAAAAAAACAGAAGGAACUCGAGGCAGGUUAGGCCACUGACUCUGCAAGUCUGGCAGCUGGCGAAAGUCCUGCGUUCCCUGGCUUGUGACUUGGCUGCCCUCGGGCAGCGGUGAGGAGGACACAAUUUCCCCCUUUCCUGCCAUGAUAGCCCCUGCCCCCACCGUGGCACCUCAGCCCUCCACCUGUCCAGGUUGCACCACAAUCGUGAACCUCAAAUUAGCAGGGUUGAGAAGUCACGUGCAGCCUUGGUGGGCCCUAUAUAAGUUGGAAAAGAAGUCUGAUUCACACAAAUCCGCAUUUAAAUCUGGUUCUCUGCACUUA